This 413-nucleotide unclassified non-coding RNA is filed under the name soil metagenome. RNAcentral's name for it is "partial contains 5.8S ribosomal RNA, internal transcribed spacer 2, and large subunit ribosomal RNA". The stretch from base 1 to 122 matches the Rfam family "5.8S ribosomal RNA", at positions 35 to 154 of the family's 154-position model. The record is from RNAcentral.
GAUGAAGAACGUAGCGAAAUGCGAUACUUGGUGUGAAUUGCAGAAUCCCGUGAACCAUCGAGUCUUUGAACGCAAGUUGCGCCCGAAGCCGUCAGGCCGAGGGCACGCCUGCCUGGGCGUCACACGCCGUUGCCCCCCCCGCGCCCCGCACCCAACUCUUUGGGAGCGACCGCGGGGCGGGCUGAUGAUGGCCUCCCGUGCGCUCCGCCGCGCGGUUGGCCCAAAUACCGAGUCCCCGGCGACGUGCGCCACGACGAUCGGUGGUGGAGAGACCUCUGUCGCAAGUCGUGCGCGCCCGUCGCGUCACGCGGGCUCGCAUAGCGCCUCGCGCCGCACCCGGUGCGGAGCUUUCAACGCGACCCCAGGUCAGGCGGGGUUACCCGCUGAAUUUAAGCAUAUCAAUAAGCGGAGGA